This 401-nucleotide ribosomal RNA is filed under the name uncultured bacterium. RNAcentral describes it as "bacterial SSU rRNA". It matches the Rfam family "Bacterial small subunit ribosomal RNA", at positions 358 to 774 of the family's 1533-position model. The record is from RNAcentral.
GGGAUAUUGCGCAAUGGGGGAAACCCUGACGCAGCAACGCCGCGUGAAGGAAGAAGGUCUUCGGAUUGUAAACUUUUGUCUUUUGGGACGACGAAGUGACGGUACCAAAGGAGGAAGCCACGGCUAACUACGUGCCAGCAGCCGCGGUAAUACGUAGGUGGCGAGCGUUGUCCGGAAUUACUGGGUGUAAAGGGCGUGUAGGCGGGUAAUCAAGUCAGAUGUGAAAUACCGAGGCUUAACUUCGGGGCUGCAUUUGAAACUGAAUAUCUUGAGUGCAGGAGAGGAAAGCGGAAUUCCUAGUGUAGCGGUGAAAUGCGUAGAUAUUAGGAGGAACACCAGUGGCGAAGGCGGCUUUCUGGACUGUAACUGACGCUGAGGCGCGAAAGCAUGGGGAGCAAACA